AUUGAACGCUGGCGGCAUGCUUUACACAUGCAAGUCGAACGGUAACAGGUCUUCGGAUGCUGACGAGUGGCGAACGGGUGAGUAAUGCAUCGGAACGUGCCCAGUCGUGGGGGAUAACGCAGCGAAAGCUGUGCUAAUACCGCAUACGAUCUAUGGAUGAAAGCGGGGGACCUUAGGGCCUCGCGCGAUUGGAGCGGCCGAUGUCAGAUUAGGUAGUUGGUGGGGUAAAGGCUCACCAAGCCAACGAUCUGUAGCUGGUCUGAGAGGACGACCAGCCACACUGGAACUGAGACACGGACCAGACUCCUACGGGAGCAGCAGUGAGGAAUAUUGGUCAAUGGGUGCAAGCCUGAACCAGCCAUCCCGCGUGAAGGACGACUGCCCUAUGGGUUGUAAACUUCUUUUGUAUAGGGAUAAACCUACCCUCGUGAGGGUAGCUGAAGGUACUAUACGAAUAAGCAACCGGCUAACUCCGUGCCAGCAG
RNAcentral lists this ribosomal RNA (484 nucleotides) under uncultured bacterium. RNAcentral describes it as "bacterial SSU rRNA". It matches the Rfam family "Bacterial small subunit ribosomal RNA", at positions 30 to 514 of the family's 1533-position model. The record is from RNAcentral.